Molecule: long non-coding RNA, 1264 nt
Organism: Cydia splendana
Lineage: Eukaryota; Metazoa; Arthropoda; Insecta; Lepidoptera; Tortricidae
Exons: 2
Source: RefSeq, a predicted model, not a curated record
CUAACGCAUAGCCUUACAUUUCUAUUGCUUAAGCCGUCUUGAUUUAAAUUUUAAAUUAUCGAAUAACAGUUAUUGUGUCACGUCCCAUCGUCAUAUUUGUUUUGAUGCCGAUUAUUUUUCUUCGUGUAUGGAUUUAUUGAAAUUGUGCAAUACUAUUUAUAACCGUAGUUUUUGGAAGUGAUUGUUUUUUGUUCCUUUUUUUGGGAAGCGUUAAGUACAAAUAACGUUUUGUGCAAUACAAUUGUUAACUUUGUUUUUUUUUUCCUUCUUUGUUGGUAACGUGUUCUUAAAUCGUACCUACCUACCCAAUUGUAAAAAAGUUAAUUAGUUUUGUGAUUUUGAUCUUCAUAUCGAUAAAGUUUUGGCAAUGACUGAUAGGCGGUCACGUACACGAAGUAGGAGUCGUCAUCGUAGUAGAAGUCGUCAUCGUAGUGAAAGUCGGUACCGUGAUGACCGUAGAUCUAAAAACGUUGACCUUAAAAAAGAAAUGCGGAAAAUUUUUGAACGUUUAAGUGCUUUAGAAAGACAACCACCCUCAUCGCAAUCAGUGUCGCUGCCAGCCAUAGGUCAUCGGGACUCCGGGGGCACGCCGCCGGGCACGCCGCCGGGCAUGCCACCGCGGAGACGCAGCCGGUCUAUGGCACACGCGCCUGACCACGUGGCGGUUAGCGCCAGUCCACGGGCGCAGUCUGCGAGCAGUGCAGUGGCUUCGGAGCAAGCUACAACUGAAGCAUUGGUGAACGCGAUACGAUCCAUCAAUAACGCGAUGCAGACAAUGUUGAACCGGAGUCUGUCGCCGCGGGUCCAAUGCCUCCCGGGUCAACGACAUUGGAUGGUGGACUCGUUACACCCAUGCCGACCGAAAAGGAUACUUCCGGUUCCGCUACGACAGGUCAAGAUUCAUCUACCAUGGGAGAUUAAGGAAAAGAGACCGAGGCGGUCUCGUGUCAGGAAAGGCCGUAUUAGAGAGAAGCCUUACCAGGUGGCGCUAAUUUUUUCAAGACCAGCUUUGAGCAAAGUUGUUUCGCGCUAAACCAAUAGGUGGCGCUCAAUUACCUACUGAUUUGCUGCAACUUCAGCCCGCAACAACUUCACGCAAAUAAAUGGCGCCAUAUUGCCAUCCUCUGGUUUGACCCACUUUUGGCUCGACACUGGUGCGGUGCGGUUGUCCCGAAAUUCGCGAUCAUUUUUGUCCACGCUUUAUUUAGUUUGAAUUUAAUUUUGAUUUGUUCGUUUUCAUCAAUAAAUUGAAAUUACUUUUGUA